GCGAACGCUGGCGGCAGGCCUAACCCAUGCCAGUCGCACGAACCUUUCGGGGUUAGUGGCGGACGGGUGAGUAACACGUGGGAACGUGCCUUUAGGUUCGGAAUAACUCAGGGAAACUUGUGCUAAUACCGAAUGUGCCCUUCGGGGGAAAGAUUUAUCGCCUUUAGAGCGGCCCGCGUCUGAUUAGCUAGUUGGUUGAGGUAAUGGCUCACCAAGGCGACGAUCAGUAGCUGGUCUGAGAGGAUGAUCAGCCACAUUGGGACUGAGACACGGCCCAAACUCCUACGGGAGGCAGCAGUGGGGAAUCUUGCGCAAUGGGCGAAAGCCUGACGCAGCCAUGCCGCGUGAAUGAUGAAGGUCUUAGGAUUGUAAAAUUCUUUCACCGGGGACGAUAAUGACGGUACCCGGAGAAGAAGCCCCGGCUAACUUCGUG
Molecule: ribosomal RNA, 433 nt
Filed under: uncultured bacterium
Lineage: Bacteria
Description: partial 16S ribosomal RNA
Rfam family: Bacterial small subunit ribosomal RNA
Source: RNAcentral